RNAcentral lists this ribosomal RNA (518 nucleotides) under uncultured marine bacterium. RNAcentral's name for it is "bacterial SSU rRNA". It matches the Rfam family "Bacterial small subunit ribosomal RNA", at positions 30 to 526 of the family's 1533-position model. The record is from RNAcentral.
UUGAACGCUGGCGGCAGGCCUAACACAUGCAAGUCGAGCGGAAACGACAACAUUGAAUCUUCGGAGGAUUUGUUGGGCGUCGAGCGGCGGACGGGUGAGUAAUGCCUAGGAAAUUGCCUUGAUGUGGGGGAUAACCAUUGGAAACGAUGGCUAAUACCGCAUAAUGCCUACGGGCCAAAGAGGGGGACNUUCGGGCCUCUCGCGUCAAGAUAUGCCUAGGUGGGAUUAGCUAGUUGGUGAGGUAAUGGCUCACCAAGGCGACGAUCCCUAGCUGGUCUGAGAGGAUGAUCAGCCACACUGGAACUGAGACGCGGUCCAGACUCCUACGGGAGGCAGCAGUGGGGAAUAUUGCACAAUGGGCGAAAGCCUGAUGCAGCCAUGCCGCGUGUAUGAAGAAGGCCUUCGGGUUGUAAAGUACUUUCAGUUGUGAGGAAGGGUGUGUAGUUAAUAGCUGCGCAUCUUGACGUUAGCAACAGAAGAAGCACCGGCUAACUCCGUGCCAGCAGCCGCGGUAAUAC